UUUUAAAAAUUAGAUUGUUUCUCGGUUGGGGAUCGUUAUUUUGGUUUUGGUAGUCUUGAAUGAAUUUAUUAAUUGCUAUAGAAUAUUGUAUUGUUAAAGAUUUUUGAAAAAGUGAAAAAAAAUUUAGGUGAAAGUUAUAGUUUGUACCUUUUGUAUUAGGGGUUAACUAGAGAAAAUAAAUAUUUAUUUGUCCCGAAAUGCUUUGAGCUACCAAUUAGAGGUGUUAUUGUUGUAUAAAUAUUAUUAAUACUUGGUAGAAAUGAAAUUUUUUUCGAAAAGUUUGAUAUCUGGUUAGGUGCGGAAAAUUAAAUAUUUUAAAUAAUUUACUUUUUUGUAAAAAGUUAUUGAUUUUCUUUUUAGGGAUAAGCUUAAGAAGAGUAUAUAAAGUGUAUAACAGGUUGCUGUAGGUUUAGAAGUUACUGACUAUUUGUAGUAAAAUAGCUGGUGUUAGGGAGGUUGUUAUGAGAGUUGUUCUAAUUAAUUGAUAUUAGAAGAGUUUAUGUUAAUAUUAGUAUAAUUUUGGGGGAAGUGUUGUAAUUUAAUUUUCAGGUAAAUGGAGUUAUUAAAUUAAGAGGAAUUCAGCAAAUUAAAUUUUCGAAUGUUUAACAAAAACAUUGUAUUUUGGGAAAAUAAAAUAUAGGACCUGCUCAAUGUUAUUAAAUUGCUGUGGUAUUUUGACUAUACGAAGGUAUUGAAAUAAGAUUUUAAUUGGGUGCUAAGAGAAUGGUUUAACGGAGAUUGACUUUCUUUUUAUUUAAAUUGGAAGUUGAUUUGAAAAUGAAAAAGUUUUUAUGAGUUUUUGGGACAAGAAGACCCUGUGAAUUUUUUCUUAAGAAAUUUUUUAUAGAUUAGUUAUAAGAAAUCGAAAGGAGAUUUUAAGUUGGUUGGGGUGAUUUUUAAAGAAUAUUUAUCUUUAAUUUUUGGUGGAAUUUGACCCAAAAGUUUUGACUUAAUGGAAAAAAUACUCCAGGGUUAACAGCGUUAUUAUUUUGGAUAGUUCAUAUAGAUAAAAUAGUUUGCGACCUCGAUGUUGGAUUAGGAUACUUUCGUGGCGCAGAAGUUACGUGAAGGAGUUUGCUCAACUCUUUAAAUCUUACAUGAUCUGAGUUCAGACCGGCGAGAGCCAGGUUGGUUUCUAUCUAAAUGUAGAAUGUGAGUUUCUUUAGUACGAAAGGAAUGGAAGCUUAAAUUAUUUAAGUUAAGUAUUUAAGGGAGAG
Molecule: ribosomal RNA, 1217 nt
Filed under: Alectorobius peruvianus
Lineage: Eukaryota; Metazoa; Arthropoda; Arachnida; Ixodida; Argasidae
Description: 16S ribosomal RNA
Rfam family: Bacterial large subunit ribosomal RNA (bases 800-1143)
Source: RNAcentral